This 517-nucleotide ribosomal RNA is filed under the name uncultured bacterium. RNAcentral describes it as "bacterial SSU rRNA". It matches the Rfam family "Bacterial small subunit ribosomal RNA", at positions 992 to 1509 of the family's 1533-position model. The record is from RNAcentral.
AGAACUUAGCAGAGAUGCUUUGGUGCCUUCGGGAACUCUGAGACAGGUGCUGCAUGGCUGUCGUCAGCUCGUGUUGUGAAAUGUUGGGUUAAGUCCCGCAACGAGCGCAACCCUUAUCCUUUGUUGCCAGCGGUUAGGCCGGGAACUCAAAGGAGGCUGCCAGUGAUAAACUGGAGGAAGGUGGGGAUGACGUCAAGUCAUCAUGGCCCUUACGAGUAGGGCUACACACGUGCUACAAUGGCGCAUACAAAGAGAAGCGACCUCGCGAGAGCAAGCGGACCUCAUAAAGUGCGUCGUAGUCCGGAUUGGAGUCUGCAACUCGACUCCAUGAAGUCGGAAUCGCUAGUAAUCGUGGAUCAGAAUGCCACGGUGAAUACGUUCCCGGGCCUUGUACACACCGCCCGUCACACCAUGGGAGUGGGUUGCAAAAGAAGUAGGUAGCUUAACCUUCGGGAGGGCGCUUACCACUUUGUGAUUCAUGACUGGGGUGAAGUCGUAACAAGGUAGGCGUAGUGCU